UAUCCCUCCCAUCGCUGCGGCGCGGGGAGGGGUUUAAACGGGAAUCCGGUGAAGGCGCCUCGCGCGUCCAUUCCGGAGCUGCCCCGCAGCGGUGAAUGGAAACGAAUCCUGCCAACAGCACUGGGCUCGCGCCUGGGAAGCGGCAGGUAGUAGGUGGGCUGCGGCCCGAGUCCAUCAGCCCGAAUACCGGCCCCGGCCGGGGGACACGAC
RNAcentral lists this non-coding RNA (210 nucleotides) under Stenotrophomonas maltophilia. The record is from RNAcentral. Lineage: Bacteria; Pseudomonadati; Pseudomonadota; Gammaproteobacteria; Lysobacterales; Lysobacteraceae.